AACGCUAGCUACAGGCUUAACACAUGCAAGUCGAGGGGCAUCAGGGAUGUAGCAAUACAUUUGCUGGCGACCGGCGCACGGGUGAGUAACGCGUAUGCAACCUGCCUAUCAGAGGAGGAUAACCCGGCGAAAGUCGGACUAAUACUCCAUAAAACAGGGGUUCCGCAUGGGACUAUUUGUUAAAGAUUAAUCGCUGAUAGAUGGGCAUGCGUUCCAUUAGCUGGUUGGUGAGGUAACGGCUCACCAAGGCAACGAUGGAUAGGGGUUCUGAGAGGAAGGUCCCCCACACUGGUACUGAGACACGGACCAGACUCCUACGGGAGGCAGCAGUGAGGAAUAUUGGUCAAUGGGCGAGAGCCUGAACCAGCCAAGUCGCGUGAAGGAUGAAGGAUCUAUGGUUUGUAAACUUCUUUUAUACGGGAAUAAAGUUCAGGACGUGUCCUGUUUUGUAUGUACCGUUAUGAAUAAGCAUCGGCUAACUCCGUGCCAGCAGCCGCGGUAAUACGGAGGAUGCGAGCGUUAUCCGGAUUUAUUGGGUUUAAAGGGUGCGUAGGUGGUAGAUUAAGUCAGCGGUGAAAGUUUGUCGCUCAACGAUAAAAUUGCCGUUGAUACUGGUUUACUUGAGUAUAGUUGAAGUAGGCGGAAUGCGUGGUGUAGCGGUGAAAUGCAUAGAUAUCACGAAGAACUCCGAUUG
RNAcentral lists this ribosomal RNA (694 nucleotides) under uncultured bacterium. Its description in RNAcentral is "bacterial SSU rRNA". It matches the Rfam family "Bacterial small subunit ribosomal RNA", at positions 32 to 715 of the family's 1533-position model. The record is from RNAcentral.